Molecule: long non-coding RNA, 1976 nt
Organism: Oncorhynchus tshawytscha (Chinook salmon)
Lineage: Eukaryota; Metazoa; Chordata; Actinopteri; Salmoniformes; Salmonidae
Source: Ensembl
UCCAUCCUCCCUCCACUGUAGGGACUAGACACACCUCUGUCCCCUCUGCCCUCCAUCCUCCCUCCACUGUAGGGACUAGACACACCUCUGUCCCCUCUGCCCUCCAUCCUCCCUCCACCGUAGGGACUAGACACACCUCUGUCCCCUCUGCCCUCCAUCCUCCCUCCACUGUAGGGACUAGACACACCUCUGUCCCCUCUGCCCUCCAUCCUCCCUCCACCGUAGGGACUAGACACACCUCUGUCCCCUCUGCCCUCCAUCCUCCCUCCACUGUAGGGACUAGACACACCUCUGUCCCCUCUGCCCUCCAUCCUCCCUCCACCGUAGGGACUAGACACACCUCUGUUCCCUCUGCCCUCCAUCCCCCUCCCUCCACUGUAGGGACUAGACACACCUCUGUCCCCUCUGCCCUCCAUCCUCCCCUCCAGGGACUAGACACACCUCUGUCCCCUCUGCCCUCCAUCCUCCCUCCACCGUAGGGACUAGACACACCUCUGUCCCCUCUGCCCUCCAUCCUCCCUCCACCGUAGGGACUAGACACACCUCUGUCCCCUCUGCCCUCCAUCCUCCCUCCACCAUAGGGACUAGACACCUCUGUCCCCCUCCCCCCUACACAGGGCAGCUGUACUGAAGCCACACUGGACUGAACAGAACUGAACUCAGCCAAAGCCCAGAGUUUGUUGGCAGAAGUUUUUCUCUUGAAACCUGGUCAGCUUUAGAUUAAUCAUCACUACUAACAUUGAUAACAGGGUCAUAUGGAGGUUAGGGGUCAUAUGGAGGUUAGGGGUCAUAUGGAGGUUAGCGGUCAUAUGGGGGUUAGGGGUCAUAUGGAGGUUUAGGGGUCAUAUGGAGGUUAGGGGGUCAUAUGGAGGUUUGGGGGUCAUAUGGAGGUUUGGGGGUCAUAUGGAGGUUUAGGGGUCAUAUGGAGGUUUGGGGGUCAUAUGGAGGUUAGGGAUCAUAUGGAGGUUAGGGGACGUAUGGAGGUUAGCGGUCAUAUGGGAGGCUCCCAUGCAGGGUAGCCAGGGUUAUUAUGGAUGAGCGUAUAGUACAGGGCUGCGCUGCGGGGUUUUGCACCCACCCAGCACUAAAACACCUGCUGUGCUGAUUCACCUAAUUCAUGAAGAAUAGUUUUAUUUGUUGUUUUGUUAGUGGUGGGCUGGAACAAAACCCUGCACACAUACAGCACACUGAUGGCCCUGUGUAAGACGUGAUGUUAUCACCAACCACCAGUGGAUGCUAGACAGAACAGUGUGACAGUUAAACAGUAAGGUGGUGUCGCCUCCAGAGGUCAGCUCCAUUUAGAUUCCAGCCAGUUCAGAAACUGAAGCGUGUUCCAAAUCCACAUUAUCCUCAUUGAAAAGCAUUGAGGAGAAUUGGAAUUUCGCUAUACUUCCUGAAUUGACAGGAAUUCAAAUUCAACUGACCCCAACCCCGAUACCCUCAUAUUCUGUUUUUACUUACUUUUUAUAUUGUUUUAUUACCAGCUGAUGGGGAGGAGCUAAUUAUGACCUAAUUUAUGUUACAUGUAUUAAUCUUAUAAAAAAUAAUCUCAGUCAGGAAGUAUAUCUUGAAUCAUCCUCCCCCAGUUUCUGCUCAUGCUAAAGCACACUGUUUUUAGUUUAGGGAUAGUGUGUCAAGCGUCUGAGUAUGAGAGCUGAUCCAGGAUCAGGUCCCAACCUGUCCACACAAUCUUAUUAAUUGUCUUCUAAAAGGCAAAACUGAUCCUAGAUCAGCACUUCUACCCUGAGACGAAUGAGACAUUGGAGCCCAGCUAUCUUAACGGCUUAAUAAUGAUGAGCGAGGACCGACACACCAAAUAACAUUAUGAUGAAGUCUCAGUUGCUCCCUAACGUUGUAAAAAUGUUUUUGUAAAAACAAUGUAUUUUCUUUUCCUAUUGUAUUGUUCAGUGAACAGGGUUUGUCACUGUUUUUCUCUUAUUGGUCGUUUAAUAAAUCAUUUUUAAACUCUUUGUCUG